Peromyscus maniculatus bairdii (prairie deer mouse) is the source of this 1283-nucleotide non-coding RNA. Lineage: Eukaryota; Metazoa; Chordata; Mammalia; Rodentia; Cricetidae. The record is from RefSeq and is a predicted model, not a curated record.
UAUUGUUCUGUUUCCUCACAUUUUCUUUGUAAUUGGUAGAGAUACGAUGAAGCCAAAACUGUACAAAAGCUGCUGCAAGUCUGCCUGUGACAGGGCUGUAGCUGCACACACAGCUGCAGUUUGGGGUCAGGCUUCAGGCUUGCUGGGAGCACUGUGCUUCUGCAGCACAGAGGUAAAAAAGAUUGAUGAAGCUGCCCCUGGGAUUCUUCCGGAACCACUGCACACUUCUCAUGGUGGUAGAAAAAUUGCAUCUCAGAGCAGAACUGGUUCCCUCAUGGAGACUCAGGACUGAAGGACUCUGCUCCACCUCAUCUCCUCUCACCCCUGUUUAGAAACAAAAGCAAACCAGAAUCAUCCACACCUGUCUAAUAUCCCAGGAGACACCAUGAGGUAACUGCACAGGAGCUUUGGGUUGACUCAUUCCCCUUCUACCACUGACAUUUCUGGAGAAUCCCUAAGGCAACUUGAAUGGGCACAACUCACAGCAAAUCCACAACCACAGAAUCCCCAGCACAGCUCCCAGGUUCCUCUCCAUGAUGCCUGUCCAGUUGCUGGGAUGCCUUCUCUCCAGUUAUGAAGGUGUUAAGUUUUGUGCCCAGAUACACUUGUGCUUACACACAGCAGGUUCUCUUCAAAUCACUGAGUUUCCUCUUUCAUUGGAACAAGAAACCCCACCCACCUCUACCUCAUGACUACAGGCAAUUGCUCCACAACUGUGGAAGAUAAUGAUGUAGAGCCCAGGACACUGUAUUUCUAAUAUAACACUUCAUAUAAGGGGAGUUUGGGGAAAAUGUGCGAGGGAGGGGAAUUCAUAAAUGCAGAAUACUGGUGUGAAAACUGAUGGUUCCAGUGAGUUAGAAGAGCCUUGCAGAAUCCUAGCAAGAUUUUUUUUGACCUUUUUUUGUCUUAAUUUUUUUUCAUAUACAAUAUGUUCUGAUCAUUGCCUCCUCUCCUCUAUCACCUCCAAGAACUUCUAAACACCUUCUCACCCACCCAACUCCAUGCUCUUUCUUUUUCUCUCUCUUUAGAAAUCAAAAAGCAAACAAAAUCCAAACAAAGCAGAAUUUAAAAAAAAAAGAAGAAACACACACACACACAAAUCUCUUAAAAACAUAAAAUACAUACAAACACAGACAAAAGACCAAUAAGACAAAAAAAAAAAAAAACAUGCUCAAGCUUAGCAAUGUGAGGCAAUAACAUCAUUGGAUUCAUUCUGUGCUGGCGAUCUACUGUUGGGCAUGUGCCCACCCUUCCGUGUGAUCAAUAAACCCAACAUGAAAGUU